GAAGUAAAAGUCGUAACAAGGUUUCCGUAGGUGAACCUGCGGAAGGAUCAUUCAUAAUAAGUGUUUUAUGGCACUUUUUUAAAUCCAUAUCCACCUUGUGUGCAAUGUCAGGGUUGGUUUCUCUCUUUUGAGAGAUCAACCCCAAACAUCAACUCUAUCUUAACUCUUUGUCUGAAAAAUAUUAUGAAUAAAACAAUUCAAAAUACAACUUUCAACAACGGAUCUCUUGGCUCUCGCAUCGAUGAAGAACGCAGCGAAAUGCGAUACGUAAUGUGAAUUGCAGAAUUCAGUGAAUCAUCGAAUCUUUGAACGCAUAUUGCGCUCUUUGGUAUUCCGAAGAGCAUGCUUGUUUGAGUAUCAGUAAACACCUCAAAGCCUUUUUUCUUUUUUGAAGAAAGGCUUUGGACUUGAGCAAUCCCAACACCAAUCUUUUAAAGAGAGGGGGCGGGUUGCUUGAAAUGCAGGUGCAGCUGGACAUUCUCCUGAGCUAAAAGCAUAUUCAUUUAGUCCCGUCAAACGGAUUAUUACUUUUGCUGCAGCUAAUAUAAAGGGAGUUUGACCAUUUUGGCUGACUGAUGCAGGAUUUUCACAAGAGUCUUCAAAACCUCUUGUUAAACUCGAUCUCAAAUCAAGUAAGACUACCCGCUGAACUUAAGCAUAUCA
Molecule: ribosomal RNA, 663 nt
Filed under: Linnemannia cf. hyalina
Lineage: Eukaryota; Fungi; Mortierellomycota; Mortierellomycetes; Mortierellales; Mortierellaceae
Description: eukaryotic LSU rRNA
Rfam family: 5.8S ribosomal RNA (bases 207-360)
Source: RNAcentral